UUUAAUAAAUCUAAAGAUGAGCAUCCAUAUUCCCGCUGCAUUAUGGUCAUCUCUAUAAAACGACAACCGUGACAGGAGGAGGCUCAGGUGACAGCGGUGGCAGAAGGAGGCAUCCUCACGAGCAUUCAGGAAGCUCAGGUGUCAGAGGAAGCAGCAUGUAGCACAGGUGUCAUGCAGGAGGAGGCCAUCAUUCAAUUGAAAGAGAGAAUACAGUUCCUGCAAAAUAAGCUGUCAAAGUCACACAAACAAGGCCUGCCACAAGACGAAGCGUCAUCAAAACCAAAACUAAAGACAAUGUUGGAGGCCAUGGAGUCGCUAACUCCACAUCUAAAGAACUUCUUCAAACUACAGUGCAGUGUGCAGAGAAAUAAAAGACGGUGGAGGUUCUCUGUGGAGAUAAAACAACUUGGAAUUCAGCUGUACCACCACAGAAACAAAAAUAUCCUGCCAUCUAUAAGUACCCUCCAUCACUACCUUGCCCCCACCAUUGGUUUAUUUUCUGUAAGAAUAAAUAUUGCAUUUUGCUCUUACAAGAGGA
Salmo salar (Atlantic salmon) is the source of this 538-nucleotide non-coding RNA. Lineage: Eukaryota; Metazoa; Chordata; Actinopteri; Salmoniformes; Salmonidae. The record is from RefSeq and is a predicted model, not a curated record.